GACGGUACCAGAGUACCGCGGGACACGAGAAACCCCGUGGGAAGCAGGGGGGACCACCCUCCAAGGCAAAACACAGAUAUCGACCGAUAGCGCAUAGUACCAUGAGGGAAAGGUGAAAAGCACCCCGGGAGGGGAAUGAAACAGAACCUGAAACCGUAUGUUUACAAGCAGUCGGAGACCGUAUAUAUAUCAGGUCGACGGCGUGCCUAUUGAAGAAUGAACCGGCGAGUUAUGAGGUCCAGCGAGGUUAAGCAGGAAAUGCGGAGCCGAAGCGAAAGCGAGUCUUAACAGGGCGAGUAGUUGGACUGCAUAGACCCGAAACCACAGUGAUCUACCCAUGUCCAGGUUGAAGCACAGGUAAAAAUGUGUGGAGGACCGAACCUAUAUCCGUUGAAAAGGGUUAGGAUGAGGUGUGGGUAGGGGUGAAAUUCCAAUCGAACGUGGAGAUAGCUGGUUCUCCCCGAAAUAGCUUUAGGGCUAGCCUCAGGGUAAAGAUUGCAGGCGGUAGAGCACUGAUCAGGAGAGGGACCUACCCGGUUACCAAACCCAGUCAAACUACGAAUGGCUGCAAUUAUACCUGGGAGUCAGACUACGACUUAUAAGGGCCGUGGUCAAAAGGGAAACAGCCCAGAUCAUCAGCUAAGGUCCCAAAUGCCGUGCUAAGUGGCGAAGGAUGUGGCGUUUCAUAAACAACCAGGAUGUUGGCUCAGAAGCAGCCACCAUUUAAAGAGUGCGUAAUAGCUCACUGGUCGAGAGACGCUGCGCCGAAAAUGUCCGGGGCUCAAGCACGGAACCGAAGCUAUGGCAUUGCGUAAGCAAUGGGUAGGGGAGCGUUCUUAUGGGGAAGAAGCAUUACCGUAAGGAGAUGUGGACACAUAAGAAGUGAGAAUGCCGGUAUGAGUAUCGAAAAGAAAGGUGAGAAUCCUUUCCACCGAAAGCCCGAGGGUUCCUGAGCAACGAUCGUCGUCUCAGGGUAAGUCGGGACCUAAGCCGAGGCACAGACGCAUAGGCGAUGGACAACAGGUUGAAAUUCCUGUACCGGAUGGAGUCAUUUGAGCAAUGGAGUGACGCAGGAGGGCACAUGAUCGCGCGACUGGAAGAGCGCGUCCAAGUGCGUAUGUUGAAUCGGAGGCAAAUCCCCGAUUCUGAAAGCAGAGACAUGAUGGGGAGUUAUAAGCGAUUAUGACGAACUCAUGGAUCCCACACUGCCAAGAAAAACUUCUAGCGAGACGAAAUCCGCCCGUACCGUAAACCGACACAGGUAGGCGGGGAGAGAAUCCUAAGGUGCGCGGGAAAACCCUCGUUAAGGAACUCGGCAAAUUGCAUCCGUAACUUCGGGAGAAGGAUGGCCCUGAGUAGGCGAAGUGCAGAAACGCACGGAACAGAAAAGGGUGGCAGAAAAGAGGCCCAAGCAACUGUUUACCAAAAACACAGGUGCCUGCGAAAGCGAAAGCUGAAGUAUAGGUGCUGACGCCUGCCCGGUGCUGGAAGGUUAAGGAGAGAGGUUAGCGCAAGCGAAGCUUUGAACUGAAGCCCCAGUGAACGGCGGCCGUAACUAUAACGGUCCUAAGGUAGCGAAAUUCCUUGUCGGGUAAGUUCCGACCCGCAUGAAAGGCGUAAUGAUUUGGGCGCUGUCUCAACGAGGGGCCCGGUGAAAUUGAAAUACCUGUGAAGAUGCAGGUUACCCGCGACUGGACAGAAAGACCCCAUGGAGCUUUACUGCAGCUUGAGAUUGAAUCCCGGUGGCAGACGCACAGGAUAGGUGGGAGGCUUUGAGAUAGUGACUUUGGUUGCUAUGGAGCCGACGUUGGGAUACCACCCUUCUGUUGCUGGGAUUCUAACGCGAAGAUUAACAACCUUGCGGACCAUCUCAGGUAGGCGGUUUGACUGGGGCGGUCGCCUCCGAAAGAGUAACGGAGG
RNAcentral lists this ribosomal RNA (1920 nucleotides) under human gut metagenome. RNAcentral describes it as "bacterial LSU rRNA". It matches the Rfam family "Bacterial large subunit ribosomal RNA", at positions 400 to 2306 of the family's 2925-position model. The record is from RNAcentral.